RNAcentral lists this long non-coding RNA (514 nucleotides) under Dunaliella salina. RNAcentral describes it as "long non-coding RNA (DSAL_LNC000052)". The record is from RNAcentral. Lineage: Eukaryota; Viridiplantae; Chlorophyta; Chlorophyceae; Chlamydomonadales; Dunaliellaceae.
UCCUCCAUCAACAAAGUCAUCUUCAGGGAUGUAUUCAUCUUCCACCUCUGGGAGACCAACCCAUUUGACCUUGUACUCGAAUUUGACCUGGUUCCUGCGUACUGAUACAGGACGGUGCUGAACAAUCCUUUCCAGUUGCCAGAUUGGAGUGCCAUCAGUGUCAUAUGAGAGUAGCGGAGUAGAGUACACUGGCUCCUCGCCUUCACGGAUGCGGUAGGGCUUGACCUGAGAAACAUGGAACACAUUGUGACAACGCAUAUGCUCAGGCAGACUGAGCUUCACAGCAACAGGACCAACCAUCUUGAUAACAGAGAAAGGACCCAUCCAUUUAGGCAUGAGUUUCUGUCCUCGCCCCUGAGAGAAGUUCUGAGUACUGAGAAGCACAAGCUGAUUUGGAUGAUAUGUGAUCUCUGGGCGGUUCUGAUUGUAGUAGGCCUGUUGUCUGWCCUGCGCAGAUUGGAGAGACUUUUUGGCACGAUUYAGAGUCUCUUGYARGUCUGCAGCAAAGUCUGAU